Gallus gallus (chicken) is the source of this 2037-nucleotide long non-coding RNA. RefSeq lists it as uncharacterized. Lineage: Eukaryota; Metazoa; Chordata; Aves; Galliformes; Phasianidae. The transcript has 3 exons. The record is from RefSeq and is a predicted model, not a curated record.
GCCCUUCCGCGAGCCCAGGACACGGGUAAGAUCUUUAUUUCAUUACUCCUUUGUAACGCGGUAAUCUCUCUGGUCCAAUACCUGUAUACCUGUUUGCCAUACAGCUCUGAUUCUUGGAAAAGGGUAAGUGAUCCCUCUUUCGUGACCUGAAGAUCAUGUCUCCUGACCUUGUUUUGUGUUCAGCAGGUGGUGGUGGAGAGCUGUGACCCGUUCGAGCCUAGUGAGGAUGUUCACGGACACAGCAGGAACCCACACCCACAGGAGUCCCCCGUUCUGAUGGGAUCUCCGUGCCUUCUGUUGAUCCCAGCGUACUUUGGUUUGUUCUUCUAUUUUCAGGUUCUGUUCCAUUGCAUGCUUUUCUGCUGUGUUUUUCUUCCUUCCUUUUGUUUUACAGGCUGGAAAUGUACGCCUGAUUGGUUCUAUGGUGACCCAAAUGCCAUGUAGGAAGGUUUGGCCAAGUGUGGUGGGAAAGGAAGAGGACUGGGGACGCCAGCACCAGAUGCCGUUGCACUUCCUGACCUCCCUGGGUGGCAGCGUUGGAAGUGCCUGGACCCUUGGAAAGGGCUAAGUGAUUCCUUCAUCAUUACCAGAAUGUAGUUUGUGUUCAAGAGGAGACGGUGGAGAACUGUGGCCUUUUGAUCAGUGCAAAGCGUCUACUGAGGCUCUAGGUGGAGAGAACGGGAACGCAGAGCCAUAGGCGGAUGCCAAGAUCCACUCCUUCCUCUGCCUGGCAAGCUAUGUUGAUCCCUGAGGUUGUUUCCAUGCUUGCAGGUGUCCUAUGCGCUUGGUGUCGGUUGUUCCUUGCGCUCACUUGGCUUUCACCGAGUGUUGUUGCCUUACAACAUUUUUCCCACCCUCUAUUUCCAAGCAGGAGCUCCCCUUGGCCUCCAUGUCUCGCUCUGGCCAGGCAGAUGUGGUGUGCCAACGGUACGCAGAGUCCAGACCCUGAGCAGAAGAGCAACUGAGGAGAGAGGCUGCCCUGGGUGAGACAGGAGAAGUGCCCCUUGAAGCGGGGGACGCCCCGCUGGUGCUGCCUCUCGCAUCCACCGGCAGCGCGUUCCUUCUCUCUCCUUGCCGCCCGGCGCUUUGCCGUCUCCCAGGGCUCGCCAAGUCCAAAUGUUGCCUGAUGGAGUCCAACUCCGGCUUGACCAACACUCACCCCAUCUGUCCCCGCACCAGCUGGCUUAGGGCUCCCCAGCACUGCUGGCUGUCGGUGCCUGCUGUCGCUCCCAGUCAGCAUGGCUCUGUUCCUUGCUUUUGGGGUUCCAGAGCUGUUUGCUGUUUGCUACGGUUAUGGAGUGUUUCUCUUCUCUCUCUUCUUCUCUUCCAUCUUGGCCGUUGGCACCUCGGUGGAGUUCCGGUGACCCAAAUGCAGACUGCUCUGCGUUGACCAAGUGUGAUGCCAAGAGAAGAGGCAGGCUCCAAAACAGGCUGCUGGUGAGUGCUGUGCAUGACUCGGGGUUCCUAGAAUGCCCACUCUUUCUUACUAACCCGUGUUGUUCAGCACCAAAUGUGAAGGCUGCUUCUUUCCUUCCAGGACUGGAGACUCCACCACCAGGUGCCGUUGUCAUUCUUGACCUCCCCGGGUUGCGGCGCUGGACGUGCCCUGAUCCUUGGAAAGGGGUAAGAGAGCUGUAUUUCAUUAGCAGCAGGUGAUCUCUACUUACCUUGUCUUGUGUCCAACAGGUGGCAGUGGAGAGUUGUGACACUCCCUGAGCACUGCAAGGACUCUACUGAGGCUCUUGGUGGACACAGCAAGAACUCCCACCCAUAGAUGGAUGCCAAGAUCCGCUCCUUCUUCUGUCUGGCAAGCUCUGCUGACCCCUGAGGUCGUUCCCACGCUUGCAGAGGUUCUAUGGGCUUGGUGUCGCUUGUUGCUUGUGCUCACCUUGCUGUCACCGCGUGUUCUUCCUUUGCCCAUCUUUAGGGGUCCCCCAUUCUGACGGGAUCUCCGUGCCUUCUGCUGAUCCCAGAGAGCAUGGGUUUGUUCUCUUAUAGCCAGGUUCAGUAUCAUUUUUUCAUGUUACGCAUUCUUUC